UGGGGAAUAUUGGACAAUGGGCGCAAGCCUGAUCCAGCAAUGCCGCGUGUGUGAAGAAGGCCUUCGGGUUGUAAAGCACUUUUAUCAGGAGCGAAACGCUGUCGGCUAAUACCCGGCGGAACUGACGGUACCUGAGGAAUAAGCACCGGCUAACUUCGUGCCAGCAGCCGCGGUAAUACGAAGGGUGCAAGCGUUAAUCGGAAUUACUGGGCGUAAAGCGUGCGUAGGCGGUUUCUUAAGUCUGCUGUGAAAUCCCCGGGCUCAACCUGGGAAUGGCAGUGGAUACUGGGAGGCUAGAGUGUGUCAGAGGGUGGUGGAAUUCCCGGUGUAGCGGUGAAAUGCGUAGAGAUCGGGAGGAACAUCAGUGGCGAAGGCGGCCACCUGGGACAACACUGACGCUGAGGCACGAAAGCGUGGGGAGCAAACAGGAUUAGGAUACCCUGGUAGUCCACGCCCUAAAGCGAUGCGAACUGGAUGUUGGUCUCAACUCGGAGAUCAGUGUCGAAGCUAACGCGUUAAGUUCGCCGCCUGGGGAGUACGGUCGCAAGACUGAAACUUAAAUGAAUUGACGGGGUCAUAGCUGUUUCCUG
RNAcentral lists this ribosomal RNA (590 nucleotides) under uncultured bacterium. RNAcentral describes it as "partial 16S ribosomal RNA". It matches the Rfam family "Bacterial small subunit ribosomal RNA", at positions 355 to 1376 of the family's 1533-position model. The record is from RNAcentral.